GAGGAAUAUUGCUCAAUGGGCGAAAGCCUGAAGCAGCAACGCCGCGUGCGCGAUGAAGGUCUUCGGAUCGUAAAGCGCUUUUGAGAGGGACGAGAUAGGACGGUACCUCUUGAAUAAGUCACGGCUAACUACGUGCCAGCAGCCGCGGUAAAACGUAGGUGGCAAGCGCUAUCCGGAUUCACUGGGCGUAAAGCGCGUGCAGGUGGCUUCGUAAGUUGGACGUUAAAUCUUUCGGCCUAACCGGGAGGUGUCGUUCAAUACUGCGGGGCUUGAGGGUAGAAGAGGGGGGUGGAAUUGCCGGUGUAGUGGUGAAAUGCGUAGAUAUCGGCAGGAACACCGGUGGCGAAAGCGGCCCCCUGGUCUGCUCCUGACACUCAGGCGCGAAAGCUAGGGGAGUGAACG
Molecule: ribosomal RNA, 402 nt
Filed under: uncultured bacterium
Lineage: Bacteria
Description: bacterial SSU rRNA
Rfam family: Bacterial small subunit ribosomal RNA
Source: RNAcentral